CGGUUACGUGAUUUUGCCUUCGUAUCCCGUAUCGAUCCGGGAAACGGGUACGAUACGCUCGGAUACGUGUAUCCGGAUUUGGAUACGUCCGUAUCCUAUUUAGAUACGUAAGAACGUAAAUAAAUCAGAUACGUGGGAUAAUACUGACUUUUUACCCUGAAAAAAAAAAAAAAACGGAAUCAGCUCCGGCCGUCACCAGCGACGCUGUCGUCCAGAAUGGAUUGGAACUCGGCUCUCCAUUUCAGAACGGUCCUGCUUCUCGAGGCGGAUAUCGGGGCGGGAGAGUUGGGGAUCCGGUCCGGGUAGGCUUGGGCUUGGGUGAGAUGACGCUGUGGAGAGAGACUUAAGGAUGUAGCGGAGGGCGGACGCGAGGAGGUCGUCUGAUCAGUCAGCGUCGGAGAUGAGAGGUUUGAUCUGAGUAUUAAGACAAGGAAGAGGAGGAGAAAGGAGCAGGAGAGGACAAGACAAUGAGCUUGAGAUUGAUGCCGAAUUGAGGCUUGGACCAAGGUUAUAGUGAAUGUGUGGGACGGGGGAUCAAGGUUAUAGUGAAUGUGGGACUUCUUGAAGAGAGAGAGGAGACAGAAACUUGACGGUUUCUGUUUUUCUAGGAGGUAAUGGAACCUCUACAGUGAGGCAUGAUCACAUCAUUCACGUGUCAGAAGGCACAUGCUAAGAACAUGGAGCUCAAAUUUGUUGGAUUUAAUUAUUAUUAUUGACUUAUUUA
Molecule: long non-coding RNA, 724 nt
Filed under: Rosa chinensis
Lineage: Eukaryota; Viridiplantae; Streptophyta; Magnoliopsida; Rosales; Rosaceae
Description: sRNA RchiOBHm_Chr1g0322371
Source: RNAcentral